Small nucleolar RNA from Cavia porcellus (domestic guinea pig), 129 nucleotides. Lineage: Eukaryota; Metazoa; Chordata; Mammalia; Rodentia; Caviidae. The record is from Ensembl.
AAAAUCCUGAAGCACGGCUGGCAGUUUUCUGAAGCUGUGAGUUUCAAGCAGGAGCCUAAAGUGAUAUCUUGUUCUGGUCUGCUUGCCAUUUUAGAAAUGUUAUGGUCAAUUCAUUAGAAAGAAACAGCU